Long non-coding RNA from Vicia villosa (hairy vetch), 3229 nucleotides. RefSeq lists it as uncharacterized. The record is from RefSeq and is a predicted model, not a curated record. NCBI's taxonomy places the organism in Eukaryota, Viridiplantae, Streptophyta, Magnoliopsida, Fabales, Fabaceae. The transcript is spliced from 5 exons.
ACUGAGCGGGUGUAGGCUGUUGGUCCAGGGUUCGAUCCUUGGCAGCAGCAAUGUAGUAUUUUCUUUGUAAACAAGUUGGUGGUACUUAUAAACCAUCAGCUUUUAUAAAAAAAAAAAAUGAGAUGCCGAUUAGGAAUGUUGUGUCUUGAAAUACCAUGAUUGAUGGGUAUGCGCGGAAUGGUCAAACUGAACAGGCUUUGGAUUUGUUUAGAAGAAUACUGGAGAGGAAUGUGGUUUCUUGAAAUACAAUCAUGACGGCCUUGGCGCAUUCGGGGAGGAUUGAUGAUGCACAAAGGCUUUUUAAUAAGAUGCGGGAAAGGGAUGUGGACUACUAUGGUUGCGGGUUUGUUGAAGAAUGGAAGAAUUAAUGAUGCUCGGGAAUUUUUUUAUAGGAUGCCGGUUCGUAAUGUGGUUUCUUGGAAUGCAAUGAUUGCGGGUUAUGCGCAGAAUGCGAGGUUGGAUGAGGCUUUAAAGUUGUUUGAGAGAAUGCCUCAGAGGGAUAUGCCUUCGUGGAAUACAAUGGUUACGGGUUUCAUUCAAAAUAGGGACUUAAAUAGUGCAGAGAAGUUUUUUUUUUAGAGAAGUUAUUUGAUGCAAUGCCUCAAAAGAAUAUCAUUACUUGGACUGCUAUGAUGACAGCCGACAGGGUAUGUACAACAUGCUUGGAGCAUACUACUUGCUUAAGCUUAUUGAGUCUGAGCUGCAAGCAUACUUGUCUGCAACAGAGGAUCGAGUGGUACAGUUUCUUACUAUUUUCCAUUGCACUUUUUUCUUUAAUUCUAUUGUUAUUAUUUUCUUUAUUGCUUCAGUUCAGUGUCACAUUCUAGUUCAAUUUCUCCACUCACCCCUUCCUUAAAAUAGUUGGAAGGUGGCUUAUAAUGCUAUGACAAGUAUAGUUUAGUAAAUAACUUUACCUUUUGUCUUUUGUCACCAAUGCCCUGGAAUAUACCUUAUUAAGAUAUCUUCUAUCUUGGUAUUCCUUAUAUUUCUUUUUUGUCCCUAGUUUCAAAAUCUUACAGUUUACUUCACUGCUUUUAUCUUUUAAACUUUAUUUGAUGGUUUGCCGGAUCGUUGGCCCUGCGGAGUACAUGACAGUGAUCAUUUUUUGCAUGCUAUUAGAGACUUGCUGAAAACUUAUUCAAAUACUCAAGUUGCACUGUCGAGAUACGUAUCAGCACCAGGCAUUGUCCAACAGAUAUCAGCCCUUCAUUCAGAUUUAAUGACACUUCAAUCAGACCUUGAAAAUUCUCUUCCAGAAGAACGAAAUAGGUGUAUUAAUGAACUGUGCGACCUUAUUCAAAAUAUGCAACAACUGCUCUUUGCAUCUUCAACAACUGCAAAGCCAAUAUUGACCCCUCCGGCAAGUUAGUUUGUUCGGAGGAGGGGGGAAUGUUAGUAGCAGAGAUUUAAACCCUGGACCUUCUUGCACAUGAUUCCUUCAGUAUCAAGACCCGAACCACUGGGCUACUCAGUCAGGGACUUUAAACUGUUACUAAAAUUACUGAAGAGUAGUUUAUGUCUCCGAUAUUUCUGUUCAGAGUAAUUUCAAGUGAAAUUAUUUGCCACUUUUUGAUUGCUUGGUGGCUUUGUGUGAGAUAAUAUGAUGUAGGAGCAGGCAAAGAGUUCAGAAUUCAAAGGCUUCACUGGCAGACUCGAAUACUCGGUCUUGUAGUUGUUGCCCAAAAUGUGCUUUGUUAGAUGAAACGAAACGACUGUGCUAUUGAAUCAGUUUAUGGAAAGCACAGGUUGUUGCAAAGUGGGUUGGUUUCAAACAAAGCAUUUGAAGAUGCAACACAAUCUUGUCUUGUCCAUUGCAUUUUGUAAGUGUAUUUACCAUUAUGUAUUUGGCUUCAUAAGUUUGGAAUCGCUAAAAUGCAUUAUAUAUUGCUAAUUAUAAGAGAUGCUAUGCCAGCAUGGUUUUAUUGGUUGAGUUGCAAAAUAAAUUUGUGAGUCGGAUCUGAUAUUUGAAAUCCAUUUUAUCAGCUAUACUAAUCAAUAGUUGGUUCCUUAAACGGUUCAGAUAAAAGAAGGAAGACUUGUACUACGCUUUUUAUUACAUGAACUAGUAUUACAAAUUUUCAAUUAGGGACAUGGAUGACAUUUAUGUAUUAUAAUUCUUAGUAAGUACACAAGGAGUAGUCAAAAGAGAUGUUAGAGAAAGAAGGUCUGAUUUCUCUCUAAAACUUUUCACAAACAAUCAAUCCUAACCAUAAACCACCAAACACAUAUAAUCAAAUCCUAAGCUCAACAUAAGCUAUUCACCAUGAUCUAUGAUAAGACGAAGAAUAGUACAAAGGAAUGGAUUUAGGUCACGAGAGGUAAGAAGCAUCAGGACGGGAGAAAGCAUGCAUGGGACACAAGCAAAGGAAGAAACAAAGACUAAACGGAGAAUAACAAAACGAGUAAAUUCUUCUUCACGGAAUUACCAGAAGACUUCGGAGCCAAGGAAAUGUACAUGAUCUUCAAGGAGUUUUGUGAGAUAGACGAAGUUAUCAUACCACCGAGAAGAGACAAGAGAGGCAAACGAUUUGGUUUUGCAAGAUUCUUCAAUGUCAUGGAUGAAAAGUUGAUGGCUAAAAAACUUGACAACAUUAUCAUUGGGUCAAGGAAAAUUUACGCAAACAUACCAAGGUUCAGCCGUGAAACAAGACGAGAAACUACUAGAGAAAAAAUCCAGCAACGACUAAAUCAAGGUGGUAUGGUUGAGGAGAUGGAGGGAAAUCAGGAUAAAAGGAACAUAGUUGAUGGAGAAAAGCAGCAUGGAGAAAAACUUGCAAGAUUGAGCCUAUAUUAACCAAUUAAUACCAUUUUCUGUAAUUUAACUUUUUGUAUGAAAUAAAAUUUCUUUUUUAUUUAUUUUCCGCUUUCAGCAUGAAGAAGCACUGCUUCCCUCCCAGUUGUCUACAGGUAUCACAUGGAUUUGAGGUUCUAGUCUUGAAGCUAAUGGUUGCUUUUUUUAUCCUUAGAGAGAAUUCAAAUGGAAAUCGUGUCGAAGUAUGAGAUUCCAAAGAUAAAGCAUUCUGCUAGAGGAUUUUUUGUUGUGUGGAAGUUGCUUAGUAUUCACUUGUAACGAGAAAGUUUGAAAAGAUUUAAUCUCUAAUCUAAUGGUUUAAAUUAGAUUAUUAAAAUUGUCAUUAGAAUGAAACUCGAACAAUAAAAUCUCAUUAGUUACCAUUCAAUGUCAUUCAAUUCCAUCUUAUAUCAUUAAUUCAAACAUACUCUAAUGUGA